Molecule: transfer RNA, 71 nt
Filed under: Ictidomys tridecemlineatus (thirteen-lined ground squirrel)
Lineage: Eukaryota; Metazoa; Chordata; Mammalia; Rodentia; Sciuridae
Description: Spermophilus tridecemlineatus (thirteen-lined ground squirrel) tRNA
Rfam family: tRNA
About the family: Transfer RNA (tRNA) molecules are approximately 80 nucleotides in length. Their secondary structure includes four short double-helical elements and three loops (D, anti-codon, and T loops).
Source: Rfam by way of RNAcentral
GUGAGUAUAGCUUAGUGGUAGAGCACUUGUCUAGCACACAUAAGGCCCUGAGUUUGAUCCCCAGCACUACA